AUUGAACGCUGGCGGCAGGCUUAACACAUGCAAGUCGAGCGGGGGAAGGUAGCUUGCUACUGGACCUAGCGGCGGACGGGUGAGUAAUGCUUAGGAAUCUGCCUAUUAGUGGGGGACAACAUCUCGAAAGGGAUGCUAAUACCGCAUACGUCCUACGGGAGAAAGCAGGGGAUCUUCGGACCUUGCGCUAAUAGAUGAGCCUAAGUCGGAUUAGCUAGUUGGUGGGGUAAAGGCCUACCAGGGCGACGAUCUGCAGCGGGUCUGAGAGGAUGAUCCGCCACACUGGGACUGAGACACGGCCCAGACUCCUACGGGAGGCAGCAGUGGGGAAUAUUGGACAAUGGGGGGAACCCUGAUCCAGCCAUGCCGCGUGUGUGAAGAAGGCCUUAUGGUUGUAAAGCACUUUAAGCGAGGAGGAGGCUACUUUAGUUAAUACCUAGAGAUAGUGGACGUUACUCGCAGAAUAAGCACCGGCUAACUCUGUGCCAGCCGCCGCCGUAA
RNAcentral lists this ribosomal RNA (501 nucleotides) under uncultured bacterium. RNAcentral's name for it is "partial 16S ribosomal RNA". It matches the Rfam family "Bacterial small subunit ribosomal RNA", at positions 30 to 523 of the family's 1533-position model. The record is from RNAcentral.